Long non-coding RNA from Gymnodraco acuticeps, 287 nucleotides. RefSeq lists it as uncharacterized. The record is from RefSeq and is a predicted model, not a curated record. NCBI's taxonomy places the organism in Eukaryota, Metazoa, Chordata, Actinopteri, Perciformes, Bathydraconidae. The transcript has 3 exons.
GGACGAGUGGUGGAUCGGACGAGGACGGUGUGUCGGCGUUGUUCUACAGUGGUGCGUUACACUGCGGAUCUCUUUCUCCGGCUCACUCCGUCUCCCGUCCCGACCCCCAACCUCUGGUGAAGGAGAGCAGACCGUGAGACGUCCAGCAAUGUCCCCCAGCAGACCCUGCCUCCAUCCACCCUGGUGGCAGAGGAAGAGAGCCAGGUAGAGAGUGAACCAGCCAGCCAGUCAGUCCACCAGUCAGCCAGCAGCAGCCAGCCAGGAGGAGAAUGCUGAGGUCCGGGGCA